ACAUACUCCUAACAGCUAGCUCACCCCCAAAAACCAACAACCAACAUUAAUAACCCCACAAACACUCCUUAAUAUAAAACAAACCAUUUUACCCCCCUAGUAUGGGCGACAGAAAAGGGACACUUGACGCAAUAGAGAAAGUACCGCAAGGGAAAGCUGAAAGAGAGAUGAAAAAGCCCAGUAAAGAGCAGAAAAGCAGAGACAACACCUCGUACCUUUUGCAUCAUGACUUAGUCAGUAACUUCCAGGCAAAGUGCACUUUAGUCUGAGCCCCCGAAACUGAGCGAGCUACCCCAGGACAGCCCAUUGGGGCAAACCCGUCUCUGUAGCAAAAGAGUGGAGAGAUCCUUGAGUAGAGGUGACAGACCUACCGAGCUCAGUUAUAGCUGGUUGCCCACAAAAUGAAUAGAAGUUCAGCCUUUAAUACUUUUUUACUCAAGCCCAGUUACUACUCCUUGAAACACGAAGAAGAUAAAAGAGUUAUUCAAAGGGGGGACAGCCCCUUUGAAAGAAGAAACAACUUUAUUAAGAAGGCUAAAGAUCAAAACUUACUAAGGAGUUUUAACUUGGUGGGCCUAAAAGCAGCCACCCACACAGAAAGCGUUAAAGCUCAAUUAAUCCUCCACCACAAUUCCGACAAUUCUAUCUUAAGCCCCUAAAAACUAGUGGGCCUCCCCAUGCAUACAUGGGGUAGACCCUGCUAACAUGAGUAAUAAGAGGGAUGCCCCUCUCCCGGACACCUGUAUACAUCAGAACGAACCCCCACUGAAAACUAACGCCCCCCACCAAAGAGGGCAUUGAGCUAGCUUAAGUAAACAAGAAAGCUCCUCAAAUAUGCAGCGUUAACCCCACACAGGUGUGUUUAAGGAAAGACUAAAAGAAAAAGAAGGAACUCGGCAAACACUGGCCUCGCCUGUUUACCAAAAACAUCGCCUCUUGCACAAAAUGUAUAAGAGGUCCCGCCUGCCCUGUGACUCAUAGUUUAACGGCCGCGGUAUUUUGACCGUGCGAAGGUAGCGUAAUCACUUGUCUUUUAAAUGAAGACCUGUAUGAAUGGCAUAACGAGGGCUAAGCUGUCUCCUUUUUCCAGUCAAUGAAAUUGAUCUUCCUGUGCAGAAGCAGGAAUCCCCCCAUAAGACGAGAAGACCCUAUGGAGCUUAAGACACAAGGCAGCCCAUGUAAAACACCUGGCUUAACAGAAAUAACAAAGUAGUGCCUGCCCAUUUGUCUUUGGUUGGGGCGACCGCGGGGCAACAAAAAUCCCCCACGUGGAAUGGAAACUCCCUCCUUAAAGCAAGAGCCACAGCUCUAGCUAACAGAACAUCUGACCAGCAAGAUCCGGCAAAGCCGAUCAACGGACCGAGUUACCCUAGGGAUAACAGCGCAAUCCCCUUUUAGAGCCCAUAUCGACAAGGGGGUUUACGACCUCGAUGUUGGAUCAGGACAUCCUAAUGGUGCAGCCGCUAUUAAGGGUUCGUUUGUUCAACGAUUAAAGUCCUACGUGAUCUGAGUUCAGACCGGAGAAAUCCAGGUCAGUUUCUAUCUAUGAAUGUUCUUUUCUAGUACGAAAGGACCGGAAAGAAGAGGCCCAUGCUACAAGCAAGCCUCCCCCUCACCUGCUGCCACCAACUAAAGCAGGCAAUAGGGCAUUCAACCACUGCCAAAGAUUAAGGCAA
This 1676-nucleotide ribosomal RNA is filed under the name Mugilogobius myxodermus. RNAcentral's name for it is "16S ribosomal RNA". The stretch from base 100 to 1596 matches the Rfam family "Bacterial large subunit ribosomal RNA". Lineage: Eukaryota; Metazoa; Chordata; Actinopteri; Gobiiformes; Gobiidae. The record is from RNAcentral.